AGGACGAACGCUGGCGGCGUGCUUAACACAUGCAAGUCGAGCGGUAAGGCCUUUCGGGGUACACGAGCGGCGAACGGGUGAGUAACACGUGGGUGAUCUGCCCUGCACUUCGGGAUAAGCCUGGGAAACUGGGUCUAAUACCGGAUAUGACCUCCUAUCGCAUGGGUGGGUGGUGGAAAGAUUUAGUCGGUGCAGGAUCGGGCCCGCGGCCUAUCGAGUCUUGGUUGGUGGGGGUAAUCGGGCCUACCGAAGGCGUACGGACGGGUAGCCCGACCGUUGACGGAGGGUCGACCGGCACGACGUGGACUGACGACACCGGACCCAGACCU
Molecule: ribosomal RNA, 329 nt
Filed under: uncultured soil bacterium
Lineage: Bacteria
Description: bacterial SSU rRNA
Rfam family: Bacterial small subunit ribosomal RNA
Source: RNAcentral